This 524-nucleotide ribosomal RNA is filed under the name [Candida] sp. YS12A. RNAcentral describes it as "eukaryotic LSU rRNA". The stretch from base 181 to 334 matches the Rfam family "5.8S ribosomal RNA". Lineage: Eukaryota; Fungi; Ascomycota; Saccharomycetes; Saccharomycetales. The record is from RNAcentral.
UUUCAGUAGGUGACCUGCGGAGGAUCAUUACAGAAUGAAAAGUGCUUAACUGCAUUUUUUCUUACACAUGUGUUUUUCUUUUUUUGAAAACUUUGCUUUGGUAGGCCUUCUAUAUGGGGCCUGCCAGAGAUUAAACUCAACCAAAUUUUAUUUAAUGUCAACCGAUUAUUUAAUAGUCAAAACUUUCAACAACGGAUCUCUUGGUUCUCGCAUCGAUGAAGAACGCAGCGAAAUGCGAUAAGUAAUAUGAAUUGCAGAUAUUCGUGAAUCAUCGAAUCUUUGAACGCACAUUGCGCCCUUUGGUAUUCCAAAGGGCAUGCCUGUUUGAGCGUCAUUUCUCCCUCAAACCCUCGGGUUUGGUGUUGAGCGAUACGCUGGGUUUGCUUGAAAGAAAGGCGGAGUAUAAACUAAUGGAUAGGUUUUUUCCACUCAUUGGUACAAACUCCAAAACUUCUUCCAAAUUCGACCUCAAAUCAGGUAGGACUACCCGCUGAACUUAAGCAUAUCAAUAAGCGGAGGAAAAG